UCGUAGUAACAUAACAGGAGCACCGACCUUUAAACGCAAAGAAUGGUUAGGCAAACCUGGUAACUUGAUACUGUUUAAAAAAUCUGGAGUGAUAACAGGAUUGUUAAGUGAAUCAGAAUCUGUAGGAUCUAUGGAAUCAGCAGAUAGAUAAAUUCUUUCCUCAGCUGAAAAAAAAAACAAAUUGAAUGUAUGUCAGUUGUAUAUUCAAUAAAAAAUAGAUUGCAUAUAAAGAUUAUAAACUUUAAACUGAAGAGUAAAAGUGCAUU
RNAcentral lists this small RNA (266 nucleotides) under Arabidopsis thaliana (thale cress). RNAcentral describes it as "ATSL159790". The record is from RNAcentral. Lineage: Eukaryota; Viridiplantae; Streptophyta; Magnoliopsida; Brassicales; Brassicaceae.